GUUCAAGCCGCCGCGGUAAUACGUAGGGGGCUAGCGUUGUCCGGAUUUAUUGGGCGUAAAGAGCGUGUAGGCGGCCAAGUAAGUCCGGUGUGAAAACUCGAGGCUUAACCUCGAGAUGUCAUCGGAAACUAUUUGGCUAGAGUCCGGAAGAGGAGAGUGGAAUUCCUGGUGUAGCGGUGAAAUGCGCAGAUAUCAGGAAGAACACCUAUGGCGAAAGCAGCUCUCUGGGACGGUACUGACGCUGAGACGCGAAAGCGUGGGGAGCGAACAGGAUUAGAAACCCCUGUAGUCC
RNAcentral lists this ribosomal RNA (292 nucleotides) under uncultured bacterium. Its description in RNAcentral is "partial 16S ribosomal RNA". It matches the Rfam family "Bacterial small subunit ribosomal RNA", at positions 505 to 796 of the family's 1533-position model. The record is from RNAcentral.